AGUGAACGCUGGCGGUAGGCCUAACACAUGCAAGUCGAACGGCAGCACAGUAAGAGCUUGCUCUUACGGGUGGCGAGUGGCGGAGGGGUGAGGAAUACAUCGGAAUCUACUUUUUCGUGGGGGAUAACGUAGGGAAACUUACGCUAAUACCGCAUACGACCUACGGGUGAAAGCAGGGGAUCUUCGGACCUUGCGCGAUUGAAUGAGCCGAUGUCGGAUUAGCUAGUUGGCGGGGUAAAGGCCCACCAAGGCGACGCUCCGUAGCUGGUCUGAGAGGAGGAUCAGCCACACUGGAACUGAGACACGGUCCAGACUACUACGGGAGGAAGCAGUGGGGAAUAUUGGACAAUGGGCGCAAGACUGAUCCAGCAAUACCGCGUGGGUGAAGAAGGCCUUCGGGUUGUAAAGCCCUUUUGUUGGGAAAGAAAAGCAGCAGGUUAAUACCGCGCUGUUCUGACGGUACCCAAAGAAUAAGCACCGGCUAACUUCGUG
This 492-nucleotide ribosomal RNA is filed under the name uncultured bacterium. RNAcentral's name for it is "partial 16S ribosomal RNA". It matches the Rfam family "Bacterial small subunit ribosomal RNA", at positions 29 to 507 of the family's 1533-position model. The record is from RNAcentral.